CGCGUAGGCGGAAUUGUAAGUCAGAUGUGAAAUAUCGAGGCUCAACCUCGAUGCUGCAUUUGAAACUACAAAUCUUGAGGGUAGACGGAGAAAACGGAAUUCCACGUGUAGCGGUGAAAUGCGUGGAUAUGUGGAAGAACACCUGUGGCGAAAGCGGUUUUCUAGUUUAUACCUGACGCUGGGGCGCGAGAGCAAGGGGAUCAAACA
This 207-nucleotide ribosomal RNA is filed under the name uncultured bacterium. RNAcentral's name for it is "partial 16S ribosomal RNA". It matches the Rfam family "Bacterial small subunit ribosomal RNA", at positions 568 to 774 of the family's 1533-position model. The record is from RNAcentral.